AUGUCGUUGGUGAGGUUCUUCGACACGCUGGCCCUGGACGCGUGGAACCCCUUCGGCAGCAUCUUCGGCACGACGGCGUCAAGCGGAACCGACGCGUGGCUGGCCAGCGACACCACGGCGUUCGCCGACACCUACAUCGAGAGCCGGGAGACGGCGGAGGCCUACGUGUUCAGCACCAGGCUCCCCGCGGGGGUCACCAAGGAGGAGGUCAAGGUGGAGGUGGAGGAGGAGGGCAAGGUGCUGGUCAUCGCCGGCGAGCGGUGCCUGCGGAGGGAGGCCAAGAGCGAGACGCGCCACCACGUCGAGCGCAGCAGCGCCACCUUCUUCGGCAGGUUCCACCUCCCCGACGACGCCGCCUUGGGCCAGGUCAGGGCCGCCAUGGACGACGGCGGUGCGCAGCUCACCGUCACCGUGCCCAGGGUUGGCGCCGCCGUCCCGGUGACCAUGCCUGAGCCGGCAGUGGCCAUCGAGGUCGUCGAGGUCAGCCCGUGCUGA
This 495-nucleotide ribosomal RNA is filed under the name Triticum aestivum (bread wheat). RNAcentral describes it as "partial small subunit ribosomal RNA". Lineage: Eukaryota; Viridiplantae; Streptophyta; Magnoliopsida; Poales; Poaceae. The record is from RNAcentral.